RNAcentral lists this microRNA precursor (100 nucleotides) under Podarcis lilfordi (Lilford's wall lizard). The record is from RNAcentral. Lineage: Eukaryota; Metazoa; Chordata; Lepidosauria; Squamata; Lacertidae.
ACCUUAGAGACCAACUAAGUUUGUUAUUGGUAUGAGCUUUUGUGUGCAUGCAUGCACACGAAAGCUCAUACCAAUAACAAACUUAGUUGGUCUCUACGGU